GUCUCAUGUGGCGUCAUCUUGUAAUGGUCAUUGUGACGUCAAAGCACUGGUGAGAAACCUCUUGGUGCUUUUAGUGUUGCGGAGACGGGGAGAGAGAAUAGACGGGACUCCGUUGAGGGCAGCGCUGCGCAAACUAAGUGAUUUUCGGGUGCAACAUCACAAACGGGUCACGGGGGUUAGGCCUAAUCAACUGUCAAAUCAAAUGAUCAUUAUGCCCCUUCAACAGUCGUUAUUUAUCUGAUGAUCUGAAGUCAAGACCUAGGUCGGAGUUCGCCUACAAUUACCCUUUUUUGGUUUCUUCUUCUUUUGACAUUGAUCGCGCUGUAGCAUAGGUUAUUUCCCCCAGCUUUACAGAGAGUGAACAUAACUCAAUCCCGGACAAACAAGUUCUCAUUAAAAUUGAUUAAUUAUAUAUUUUCCCAAAGGAAUGUACUUUUGGAGAAGCAUGCUGCUCUUGGAAAUCUCGAGGUUUGCCUUGUCCUGAGUAGAUUGAUCACAUGGGAUACAGAAGACAGAAGGACUCCUCUCACCCUGUACCGAGGCUGCAAUAGGACAUCUAAAACCUUUACUAUCCCUGUGGGAAUAUGUACAACCAUCCACCUCUCCAGGACAAAGGAUGUCAGAACUGAUACAGAGUCUGGAACAAUGCCAACCCCAGAGAGAGGCUGUCUGGAAUGUCUUUUACCUUGUUGUUUUUUAUUAUCACGGGACACAAACAAGCAAACAAGAAGAUGUUAUCAGAUAUGUUUGUUUGGAUGAAAGGGAGAAACCCAGAGGGCUUUCCUUCUGACCAGGCUCUUCUCUACACUAUGAGCUGAUUGACCCCUCUCUGCCCCCCUCCAAA
Molecule: long non-coding RNA, 844 nt
Organism: Oncorhynchus tshawytscha (Chinook salmon)
Lineage: Eukaryota; Metazoa; Chordata; Actinopteri; Salmoniformes; Salmonidae
Source: Ensembl